AUAUUAGAAAAAGAGAAGAGGAAAGAAAGUAUGAGGAAACUGGAAGACAUGAAGAAUGAAAUGCUUAGAAAGAUGAAAGCGUUGGAGGUGUGGAAAGAUUACUCCAUCUUCUCUGUGGGCCAACAGGGGGUUGCACAGCCCCCUCCAGCCCAGCAGAAUAAGACAACCUCCCCUCGCAAAGAUGUCUCUAUAUUUGCAGCUGGGAAAAAUCGUUUGGCUAAAGCCUUGAAACCCCUUGUGUGCAAAAAAAAAAUGAAGGCAGAAUGCAUUCUUCAAGCA
Salvelinus namaycush (lake trout) is the source of this 279-nucleotide long non-coding RNA. RefSeq lists it as uncharacterized. The transcript has 3 exons. The record is from RefSeq and is a predicted model, not a curated record. Lineage: Eukaryota; Metazoa; Chordata; Actinopteri; Salmoniformes; Salmonidae.